Molecule: ribosomal RNA, 409 nt
Filed under: uncultured bacterium
Lineage: Bacteria
Description: bacterial SSU rRNA
Rfam family: Bacterial small subunit ribosomal RNA
Source: RNAcentral
AGAGUUUGAUCCUGGCUCAGAACGAACGCUGGCGGCAGGCUUAACACAUGCAAGUCGAGCGAUCGCAGCAAUGCGGGAGCGGCAGACGGGUGAGUAACGCGUGGGAACAUACCCUCCGGUUCGGAAUAGCUCAGGGAAACUUGGAUUAAUACCGGAUACGGUCGAGAGGCGAAAGAUUUAUCGCCGGAGGAUUGGCCCGCGUUCGAUUAGCUAGUUGGCGGGGUAACGGCCCACCAAGGCGACGAUCGAUAGCUGGUCUGAGAGGAUGAUCAGCCACAUUGGGACUGAGACACGGCCCAAACUCCUACGGGAGGCAGCAGUGGGGAAUAUUGGACAAUGGGCGCAAGCCUGAUCCAGCCAUGCCGCGUGAGUGAUGACGGCCUUAGGGUUGUAAAGCUCUUUCGCUAGG